UACGUAGGGGGCGAGCGUUGUCCGGAUUUAUUGGGCGUAAAGAGCUCGUAGGCGGUUCGAUAAGUCGGACGUGAAAUCUCCACGCUCAACGUGGAGGGGCCGUUCGAUACUGUCGUGACUCGAGUCCGGUAGGGGAGUGUGGAAUUCCCGGUGUAGCGGUGAAAUGCGCAGAGAUCGGGAGGAACACCGUUGGCGAAGGCGACUUUCUGGGCUGCUACUGACGCUGAGGCGCGAAAGUCAGGGGAGCGAACAGG
RNAcentral lists this ribosomal RNA (254 nucleotides) under uncultured bacterium. Its description in RNAcentral is "partial 16S ribosomal RNA". It matches the Rfam family "Bacterial small subunit ribosomal RNA", at positions 524 to 776 of the family's 1533-position model. The record is from RNAcentral.